Molecule: ribosomal RNA, 484 nt
Filed under: uncultured bacterium
Lineage: Bacteria
Description: partial 16S ribosomal RNA
Rfam family: Bacterial small subunit ribosomal RNA
Source: RNAcentral
AUUGAACGCUAGCGGGAUGCUUUACACAUGCAAGUCGAACGGCAGCGCGGACUUCGGUCUGGCGGCGAGUGGCGAACGGGUGAGUAAUGUAUCGAAACGUGCCCAGUAGCGGGGGAUAACUACGCGAAAGCGUAGCUAAUACCGCAUACGCCCUACGGGGGAAAGCAGGGGAUCGUAAGACCUUGCACUAUUGGAGCGGCCGAUAUCGGAUUAGCUAGUUGGUGAGGUAACGGCUCACCAAGGCGACGAUCCGUAGCUGGUGUGAGAGGACGACCAGCCACACUGGGAGUGAGACGCGGCCGCGUUCCCUACGGUACGCAGCCGUUGUGGAUGUUUGACAAUGGCUGCAACCCUGAUCCAGCCAACCCGCGUGGGUGAUGAAGCCCUCCGGGGUGGAAAGUACUGUUGGCAGGAAAGAAGCGUCGCGUGCUAAUAGCCCGUGGAACUGACGGUACCUGGCGAAUAAGCACCGGCUAACUACGUG